UACGUAGGGUGCGAGCGUUGUCCGGAAUUAUUGGGCGUAAAGGGCUCGUAGGCGGUCUGUUGCGUCGGGAGUGAAAACUCAGGGCUUAACCCUGAGCCUGCUUCCGAUACGGGCAGACUAGAGGUAUGCAGGGGAGAACGGAAUUCCUGGUGUAGCGGUGAAAUUCGUAGAUAUCGGGAGGAACACCGGUGGCGAAGGCGGCGACCUGGGUCGAUACUGACGCUGAGGUGCGAAAGCGUGGGGAGCAAACAGG
This 253-nucleotide ribosomal RNA is filed under the name uncultured bacterium. RNAcentral's name for it is "partial 16S ribosomal RNA". It matches the Rfam family "Bacterial small subunit ribosomal RNA", at positions 524 to 776 of the family's 1533-position model. The record is from RNAcentral.